RNAcentral lists this ribosomal RNA (447 nucleotides) under uncultured bacterium. Its description in RNAcentral is "bacterial SSU rRNA". It matches the Rfam family "Bacterial small subunit ribosomal RNA", at positions 330 to 793 of the family's 1533-position model. The record is from RNAcentral.
CCCAGACUCCUACGGGAGGCAGCAGUGGGGAAUAUUGCACAAUGGGGGGAACCCUGAUGCAGCGACGCCGCGUGAGUGAAGAAGUAUUUCGGUAUGUAAAGCUCUGUCAGCAGGGAAGAAGAAAGACGGUACCUGACCAAGAAGCCCCGGCUAACUACGUGCCAGCAGCCGCGGUAAUACGUAGGGGGCAAGCGUUAUCCGGAUUUACUGGGUGUAAAGGGAGCGUAGACGGCAGUGCAAGUCUGGAGUGAAAGGCGGGGGCUCAACCCCCGGACUGCUCUGGAAACUGUACGGCUGGAGUGCAGGAGAGGUAAGUGGAAUUCCUAGUGUAGCGGUGAAAUGCGUAGAUAUUAGGAGGAACACCAGUGGCGAAGGCGGCUUACUGGACUGUAACUGACGUUGAGGCUCGAAAGCGUGGGGAGCAAACAGGAUUAGAAACCCUUGUAA